GUGGGGAAUAUUGGGCAAUGGGCGAAAGCCUGACCCAGCAACGCCGCGUGAAGGAAGAAGGUUUUCGGAUCGUAAACUUCUAUCCUUGGUGAAGAUAAUGACGGUAGCCAAGAAGGAAGCCCCGGCUAACUACGUGCCAGCAGCCGCGGUAAUACGUAGGGGGCAAGCGUUGUCCGGAAUGAUUGGGCGUAAAGGGCGCGUAGGCGGCCCGGUAAGUCUGAAGUGAAAGUCCUGCUUUUAAGGUGGGAAUUGCUUUGGAUACUGUCGGGCUUGAGUGCAGGAGAGGUAAGCGGAAUUCCCAGUGUAGCGGUGAAAUGCGUAGAGAUUGGGAGGAACACCAGUGGCGAAGGCGGUUUGCUGGGCCAUAACUGACGCUGAGGCACGAAAGCGUGGGGAGCAAAUAGGAUUAGAUACCCCAGUAGUCC
RNAcentral lists this ribosomal RNA (425 nucleotides) under uncultured bacterium. Its description in RNAcentral is "partial 16S ribosomal RNA". It matches the Rfam family "Bacterial small subunit ribosomal RNA", at positions 354 to 796 of the family's 1533-position model. The record is from RNAcentral.